This is a non-coding RNA of Myotis lucifugus (little brown bat), 75 nucleotides long. The record is from Rfam. Lineage: Eukaryota; Metazoa; Chordata; Mammalia; Chiroptera; Vespertilionidae.
GGUUGUUCUCAGGUGACACACCCCAGAAUCGGGCUCCCUUCUCUCUGGUUCCAGGUGCAUCACCUGAGAACCACA